GCGUGAACCCGUCCUGGUCCUCACUAGCGCACCACCGCCGCGCCUCUCACCUGCUCCUCCCCUCCCUUUUAAGCUGCCCAGGAAACCCUAGCCUCCCUUCCUCCUCUUCUCCCUCGCGCCGCCAUCCUCUCUACCCUCCAUGUCCAUUUUCUUCACGUACAGAGAAAACCCCCACUGCCUCCACUGUCCUCACCAUGGCUCCGCCUCCACAGACCACCCCUCGCCGAUCUGAGACCACCGGCGGAUGCGCCUCGUCGUCCUCUCCAUCCUCAUGCAAGGAAUCGAACCGGAACCUCUCCAAUCGUCCGCAAAAUCGCCGAUUCCUUCUCCGUCUCCGGCGAGCUAAUCUUCGAUUCCGGCCGGCCUGGUCCUUCCCCGGCCAUCCCACCACCCGAAGCUGAACCGCCACGACGAGGCGCGCCCUCGACGCCUAGUGCCUUGCCCCGCUUCGCCUCGAAUCGUCAGGCUCGUUGUCGACCAGAUCCUCCCAGACAUGGUUGUUCUGUCCAAGGUCUCCGUUUCUCGUGCUUCAAGAGCAGCUGCGGCCCAUCAUGCUCAACAUCCACGCAGCAGCCCGUCUGGUUCUACCCUUCCAAUUCCUGUGAGACCAGAGUUCAAAUCCCAAACCUGGCAAUUAAGCCACACCUUUUUGUUUUUGUUUCUCUCCAGAUCUGUGGAUGGGCCUUGGCCCAGCGUCCUCUCGCGGCACCAGUUCACUAUCAUGCGCCAGCAGCAGGCCAGAUCCGGCCCAGGACAAAGCAGCACUUUACUUCUUCCCGGAUAGGAUCGCGAAGUGGUGUUGUGAGAUACGACGAGUUCUCCGACAAGUUCUUCUGCAUCCUUUCACAGGCGAGCCCACCCCUUCACCUAUUUUACUUUUACAUGCUCUUUUGAUCUAUUUCUAUCCUUACGUUGCGAUUCUGUUGUGUCACGUGUCCUAUCCACCUGUUACCUAUAUGUCCGAGAUACACCUCCUCGCCCUACCUAUUGUUUGUUGUUUGCCAGCUUUGCGAGUCGUAGGCGUGUUUAGGCUAUGUUGUUUAUCUCGAUCUGUUAUCGGGAUAUGUUGGGUUGUUGGGAGGUUUUCACAUGCUUUAUCAUUUGUUGGAGAUAAUCACACUUUACUUUAUUGUUAACAACUAAAAUUGUAAGCAGAGGCAUCUGUGAGCCCCUUUGCGAAAGCAUCGGAACUUUGACUUGCUAAUGUCCCCUAGGACCCGAGUUCUUGUUAUCUGUUCCGAGAUUGAGCGCUCUACCCGUACGUGGGGGAAUGGGACCCCCAUCACCCACUACCUUUCCUCGAGUCUGUUUAUUGGGAGCCACAACCUUGGUUUUAUUUGCCCAUAUGCACGAUGCACGAUUUACUUCCUGUUGCCUUCGGGUGUUUAUUCCUGUACUGUACUCAUAACGCGGGACUCUUUAUCCUUGGCCGGUCGUUAGUGCCCGCCUUGGAAGCCGACGCAAACCUCUGGGUCCGUAUCGGAAUACGGCCGAACUUCGUCACGGGUAGCUUAGUUGGGUGGCUCCCAUUAAACUUUCUCUUGCAUUGGGAACGGUCUUGAUAUGAGACUCCACCUGUAGUAAGUGGGUUCGAGCAUGCGUAUGGUUACAUUUGGGCAACCCCUGCAGGGUGUACAUUUUAUCGAUAAGCCGUGUCCGCGGUUAUGGAUGACUUGGAAUUGUAUAGCUUGAUCAUAGAACAACUUACACCUUAUAUCCUGUUGCUAAUAAUUUGCUAAUAAAACUUUUUCCAAAAAGUGUGUGUGUGCCUUUGACAGUACCUCUUUGCGAAGGGGGAUCGCAUCGGCUGGGUUAUGUUUGCAGAGUAUAGAACUGUUACCUUGUGCGCUCUCUUAUCUUCUCUGAGUAGACGGAUGUUGUAGCGUGUCUCUAUUGGAUAGUAGCUUUGCUGCCGCUAAACUCCACAUAUAGCCGGGUGAAGUUUAUACCGCCCACCAGCGAGCAUAGCUGGUCUUGUCUCGCAAGUACGUGCCAAUGGUACUUACCCUCGCCUUCCUUUCUUUUUGUCUCCUCCCCCUUUUGUCGGCAACCGAUGGCCCGACUUUGACAGGUACGAGAUGAUGACGUUAGCAAGGUUACCCUUCUGGCUUGGCCUGGGCAGGGUUAUGGAUGCCACUGGUUAUCUUCAGGACUCUUAGUCCAAUUUGUAUCUUGUCCGUACUCGGACGUAUUCGAUCUUCUGUAUGAUUUGGAUCUUUGUAUUGUAUAUUUGUAUCUUGACUCAUUGGAGUCGUUGUUGUAUUAUAUGUAUCUUGUGGGCUCUAUUGUAAUCCUGUUGUAAUGUUACCGCUCGUGUUAAUUCCUCUGGCAUCACGUGUGUGAUUCUUCGCGCACGUCGUGUCGGAGGGCGUCUCUGAAUCGAUAUCGUGCGGAUUUCGGCGGGAUCGCUGGAAUCCUCAUGGUACCGGUUCCGGGGCGUCACAGCC
Lolium perenne is the source of this 2447-nucleotide non-coding RNA. The record is from RefSeq and is a predicted model, not a curated record. Lineage: Eukaryota; Viridiplantae; Streptophyta; Magnoliopsida; Poales; Poaceae.